RNAcentral lists this ribosomal RNA (301 nucleotides) under uncultured bacterium. RNAcentral's name for it is "partial 16S ribosomal RNA". It matches the Rfam family "Bacterial small subunit ribosomal RNA", at positions 509 to 807 of the family's 1533-position model. The record is from RNAcentral.
CAGUAGCCACGGGAAUACAGAGGUCUCAAGCGUUGUUCGGAUUCAUUGGGCGUAAAGGGUGCGUAGGUGGCGGUGUAAGUCUAACGUGAAAUCUCGGGGCUCAACCUCGAAAUUGCGUCGGAUACUGCAUUGCUAGAGGAUUGUAGAGGAGAGUGGAAUUCAUGGUGUAGCAGUGAAAUGCGUAGAUAUCAUGAGGAAGACCAGUUGCGAAGGCGACUCUCUGGGCAAUUCCUGACACUGAGGCACGAAGGCUAGGGGAGCAAACGGGAUUAGAUACCCGCGUAGUCCCUGUCUCUUAUAC